AUCAGGAACUCUGCUUGUAGGGACCCUUCAUAGCUCAGCUCAGUGAGUCUAUGGAGGCAGCAAAGACCAACCCAGCAACCAUGCCUGGCAGUCUGAGUCAAAGACCAAAGAAAACAGUUUGUGGACGGUAUGUUCUGGAAGAAUCUAGACGAGAAAGAGGUUGGUUGGACUGUGGAAGUUGGGGAAGUAGAAGCAGAAGUUGGUUUUGUUUAAUUGGCAUUGUGUCAUUUUCUCCUUGAAAGAAAAUCGCAUUUCCAGUUAAGCCAUCCUUCUUGGCCCCCUUACUGUCAGGAGGGGUAGUUCUGGCCAACGAAAUAGGUAGAAAGGAUGAGUAUCAGUUUCAAGGCUGGCCAUGAGACUGCGUGGGGUCCUCCAUGCUUUCUCCCAUGCCUGUGGUGAACUAGGCUUAGAGUGUGGAUGAUGGUAGCAUGUAAAAAUGGGAGGAAUCUGGGUUCCAGGGUGAGAAGAACGUCCUCUGCACUGCAGGACGAAGAGGCAAUACAUUUAGAUUGAGCUAAAUUACUGUGAGUGUGGGGUUGUUUGUUAGAGCAGCUCGUGGUACUUAUCCUGACUAAUACGGCAUAGAGGACCUGAGACCAGAGCAGGCUCUGAAAAGGUGAAUACCAUUUGGACACAGGGAGAGGAAGGAAAGGACAUUCCAGAGGGAAGGAACAGUGGAAACAAAGGGGUGGCAGCUAGAACAGGUGCGAUAUGCUUGCACCCUAAAGAGAAAUUCAGUUUGAUGGGAACUGAGAGCUAUGCUGGGUAGGAGAUGAGACCAAAAAUACUCCAACCAGUGGUGUACUGGAUCCAGCUCAUACCAGCUCAUGAGAGCCAAUUGUUUUCCCACCUCUGUGUUCAGUGACAGACAUCACUUUGGUAGCUUGAAAUUGGCCAUGGUGGGAGUAGUUACACCAUGGCAACCAGUAAACACUCUGAGCCAGGGCUUUUUUUUCCUGUGGUUAAACACUUCUCAGCAUGCUACUGGCUGCAACCCACAUGCAAAUGAGUCCUGCCAAUCUGUGAGGCAGUGGAAAGACCAAAGACCCUGUAGCCAGUUCUAAGACUUGCCUCACCCCUUCUGCGCUGCGUGGCCUUGGGCAAGUCAACGUUGCCUCUCGGAGCCUCACUUUCAUCAUCUGCAAAAAAGUACCUCCCUCAAAGGUGGAUGUGAAGAUAAAAAUGAAUGAGCUCGUGUACAUGGAGGCCUGUCUGCAUCCUUUCAGCAUCACCAUUGCUGCACACGUGACUCUCCUAUUGGUCUACCUUCCCUUUCUGUCUGGCGCUGGUCAACAACUGGAACCCACUCCAAACGUUGUCAUGCCAACUCAACAUACUGGAAAGAGCAGGGGACAUGGAAUUGUCCCAACCCUCACCUCAGCCUGAUUUUGGAGAUAGCUUCUCACCACCCCAGGUCACCCCAGCAUCUCCCUGGUUGCUCUGUUGAAACUGGACCCUGUGAAACUGGACCCUGUGGGGCAAGAGCUGAAGCAGGAAGGUCAGUGAGUGUAAGCGAGUGAGUGGGACCCUGCGAGGGCUUCCCAGGGUGGCCCCCAGUCCUAUCUUCCACCUGCCUUUUGAUCUAUAGAAAAACUUUAGUCAAAGAACCAAUUUAAUCAGAGAAGUGAGAAAGUACAGAGAAAAAAGAAAACAGUAAUAAAAAUUCAGCCAUUGAACAAAGUCAAGGACCUUCAGUUCGUCGUCGAAGGUUAUAGAGAAUAUUCUGAGCCACGUCCUUGGAGCUGUUUUGCAGGUGCUGAAGCCCCCACCAGGUGGAAGAAGCCCACUGGAUGCCGCCCACAAGCACGUAGACCCCAGACCAGUUGGAACCAGAAGGUUGAUGACUCUGACUCCCAAUGACCUCACCACCCACCAGUCAGGAAAGUGUCCACAAGCUGAUCACGCCCUGCUCCUCAAACACUCUAAGACUCCUCACUACCCCCUCUAAGGGGGCACACCAUCCUUGAGGCACUAGCCUGCUGUGUUCCCCUUUGCCUGGCAAUUAAAACUCCUUUUUCUGUUUCCUCCAAUUCUGUCUCCAUGUUUCUAUUUGGCGUUGGUGUACAGUGCAGCCGAGAUUUCGUCAACAUGAGGAGGCUCCUGCACAAGGCCGGGUGCGAGAGAGUAGUGGGUCAGACCAGGGUGGUAGCAGAGGAGGAGGUGAGAACAGGUUGAGUUCUGGAAAUAUUUUAUUUCCAGGGUAGGGCUGACUGGAUCUGCCAACAGACAAGGUAUGUAGCGUGAGAGAAAGAGAGGAGUCGGGGAGGAUCCAGGGACAGCUGGAGCGACUGGA
Molecule: long non-coding RNA, 2293 nt
Organism: Sus scrofa (pig)
Lineage: Eukaryota; Metazoa; Chordata; Mammalia; Artiodactyla; Suidae
Source: RefSeq, a predicted model, not a curated record